This 364-nucleotide unclassified non-coding RNA is filed under the name uncultured bacterium. RNAcentral's name for it is "contains 16S-23S intergenic spacer region". The record is from RNAcentral.
UCUCGGUUACCCGAGCAGUUUCGUUUGACACUUGAAACAAACGAUAAGGGUUGCGCUCGUUGGAGGACUUAACCUUACAUCUCACGACACGAGCUGACGACAACCAUGCAGCACCUGUCAUAGGGUUCCUUGCGGCACUCCUCCGAUUAAGGAGGAUUCCCUAGAUGUCAAGUCCUGGUAAGGUUCUUCGUUUUGCGUCGAAUUAAACCACAUGCUCCACCGCUUGUGCGGGUCCCCGUCAAUUCCUUUGAGUUUUAGUCUUGCGACCGUACUCCCCAGGCGGGAUACUUGACGCGUUAGCUGUGACUACUGACGGGGUCGAUGCCGCCAAUAGCUAGUAUCCAUCGUUUACAGCGUGGACUAC